Long non-coding RNA from Vitis riparia (riverbank grape), 2142 nucleotides. RefSeq lists it as uncharacterized. The record is from RefSeq and is a predicted model, not a curated record. Lineage: Eukaryota; Viridiplantae; Streptophyta; Magnoliopsida; Vitales; Vitaceae. The transcript has 2 exons.
GAAGCCUGUGAAGAACCAGAGAAAGAGCAGAAAGAAGAAGGGUAGUAGAGACGUGUGUGAGAGGAGAGAGGAUACUGCAGUCUGCACUUCCCUGGAGAGAUCCACAGGCUCGUGGUGGAUUUUUGGUAUGAAUAUCAGAGGGUCCUACAUUCCUUGGAGGAUUUCUUAGAUUGUUAUGUGUUUCAUCUCUCAUUUCUCCGUUUCUCUUUGUGCAUAUUCUGAUUUUGCCUCUAAUCCAUUGUGUCACAUUGGUGGGCUCUAUGGUAUUCUCUGUUUCUCUUUUUAAAAUCAAUUUGGAUUCACUCACCCAUGUUUGAGCCUGCUGAUUUUAACAUGAAACGUGGCUUAACAUUGUACCUGGUUCAUCUUAUUUUCUCCGUUUGUGUUUGGUUCACCUGGAGAAAUCUGGGUUGGAAUUUCUGGUCCAAAUCAACCUCCUAACUAUCAGGGCAUGCUCUACUUCAACACUUGGCUAUAAUGACUUGUGAGUAAGAUGCAUUGAGGCCCGUUCUCCCCGUCGUUAUGCUAUUUUCCAUCAUAGAGCAGGCCUGUGCAAGUCAGGUGGAUUAGGAACAGAGCAGGUUUCACCUGCUAGUGCUUCUACUGAUGAUAUAGGGGCCUCUUCUGGAAGUUCUGGUUCCUUGAUUGAGGAAAGCAAGGGUGGAUCAGGUUCUUCUUUGGGCAGUUGGGGCUUAUCCUACAAGAGAAAGGCUCUUGAAGGUACUUCUGGAUAGUCUUAUCCUGGUGGAAGUUCAAGCUGCUCUCCACAAGCUGAACCUAGUGCUUGGCUUGCUGUUCUUGCUCAUUCUAAUGCUUCUAACGGCUCAAGCAUGUCCACACCCUCAGGGAAUUCUCUCAGUGUGAAUUCUCCAGGAAUGCCAAACCAACAAUCUGGGUUUAGCAUGAGAGGAGUAGCUCCUUCUGAUGUUUUUCUUUCUUUAAGUGUUACGCAGAAUGCAGAAAACUCCCAGAGAAACUUUGGCAGAAGUAGAACGGUGCUUGGAGACUCUUGGAGCACUUAAUAGCAAAGGAGGACUGACACCUCUAAGGAAUGCUAUGGCACAUUAUCCCUUUGAAAGAAACCAAGGCUUGCCUUAUCUAUCCUACUAUCAAUGGAAACCCAUAACAGAAAGAAAAGGUUGCAAACAAGUAAUUGUUUCUAUGAUAAAUCUGAUGUUGAAAAGAAUCGCGUAUCUACUUUCUAUGCAGUGACUACAGAAAAGCUCGAUGUUACUACUGUUUUGGGGCUGCAUCUCCUGUCCCAACUAGGGUCGCUGAUGUAUUCUGAGAGUAGUUCUUUGCUGAGAAUCCUGGUUCAUCAGUAGAGAAAGUUCAGUUAGAAAGAAAGGAUGCUGAAAGUAGGGAGAUCAAAGGGAAGGGGCUCUAUAGAAAAUUACUGUCGUGCUAUGAACCCAUGCAGUCACGUGAAUUUGGUGUGUUGCCGAUUUGCGCCCAUCUCGGUGCAUUUGAUUUGGAGAAGUGUAUCAAUUGACUUGUCAGUCAGAGAAUGAGCCAGUCAAUAAAGGGAAGAGGAAGUUGCCCAGUAUAUUCAGAGGUCAUGGCAUGCACUGUGGAAACCAAACCGGUUGAUGAAUAUUGUUACAGAGAUCAGUGGGUGGAUGGAUUGGGAUUUUGAUGCAGUCCAUGUGGUUCGAGGUGAGGAAGCACAGAAUAAAGAGCUAUGACCCCAUUUGGAUUCUAAUACUUCACCUGAUGCCCUCUGUCCUAAGCUGAAGGAGAUGGUUCAUCCAUGGAGGAAUCUAUGUAUCACACUCAAUGAGACAUUUAAUAAUUAUUUUGAUAAACUGAGGUCUCAAUAAAAGGUUCAUUUGCUUGACGAUUACGAGGAGUAGUGGGGAAGUACAAGUAAUUAGUACAAUGAAACGAGGCCUUAAAUCGGGGCAGCCCUGUUGAGUUUGAUGGAUACAUGAGAGUGGCAGAGGAUAGGCUGGAAACUUGUGUACGUGGAUCAUGAGAAUGACGUACUGCUAGUGGGGAUGAUCCUUGGGAGGAGUUUCUGAACUGUGUACGCUGCAUCAAGAUCCUUUCUCCUCAAGAAGUCCAGCAGAUGAGCUUGGAUAGAGAUAUUGGUAACAGUGUACUUCAGAAUCAAGCCUGUAGUAGCUCUGAUGGUGGCAAUGC